ACUCCUACGGGAGGCAGCAGUGGGGAAUAUUGCACAAUGGGGAAACCCUGAUGCAGCCAUGCCGCGUGUGUGAAGAAGGCCUUCGGUUGUAAAGCACUUUCAGUAGGGAGGAAGGUAGUGUAGUUAACACCUGCAUUAUUUGACGUUACCUACAGAAGAAGCACCGGCUAACUCCGUGCCAGCAGCCGCGGUAAUACGGAGGGGUGCGAGCGUUAAUCGGAAUUACUGGGCGUAAAGCGCAUGCAGGCGGCCUGUUAAGUCAGAUGUGAAAGCCCGGGGGCUUAACCUCGGAAUUGCAUUUGAAACUGGCAGGCUAGAGUCUUGUAGAGGGGGUAGAAUUUCAGGUGUAGCGGUGAAAUGCGUAGAGAUCUGAAGGAAUACCGGUGGCGAAGGCGGCCCCCUGGACAGAUACUGACACUCAGAUGCGAAAGCGUGGGGAGCAAACAGGAUUAGAUACCCUGGUAGGAUAGCG
Molecule: ribosomal RNA, 472 nt
Filed under: uncultured bacterium
Lineage: Bacteria
Description: bacterial SSU rRNA
Rfam family: Bacterial small subunit ribosomal RNA
Source: RNAcentral